Molecule: ribosomal RNA, 492 nt
Filed under: uncultured bacterium
Lineage: Bacteria
Description: partial 16S ribosomal RNA
Rfam family: Bacterial small subunit ribosomal RNA
Source: RNAcentral
AGUGAACGCUGGCGGUAUGCCUAACACAUGCAAGUCGAACGGCAGCACAGUAAGAUCUUGCUCUUACGGGUGGCGAGUGGCGGACGGGUGACGAAUACAUCGGAUUCUUCUUUUUCGUGGGUGAUAACGUAGGGAAACUUAUGCUAAUACCUCAUACGACCUACGGGUGAAAGCAGGGGAUCUUCGGACUUUGCGCGAUUGUAUUAGCCGAUGUCGGAUUAGCUAGUUGGCGGGGUAACGGCACACCAAGGCGACGAUCCGUAGCUGGUCUGAGAGGAUGAUCAGCCACACUGGAACUGAGACACGGUCCAGACUCCUACGGGAGGCAGCAGUGGGGAAUAUUGGACAAUGGGCGCAAGCCUGAUCGAGCCAUGCCGCGUGGGUGAAGAAGGCCUUCGGAUUGUAAAGCCCUGUUAUUGGGAAAGAAAAGCAGCAGGUUAAUACACCGCUGUCCUGACGGUACCCAAAGAAUAAGCACCGGCUAACUUCGUG